RNAcentral lists this small RNA (451 nucleotides) under Malus domestica (apple). Its description in RNAcentral is "sRNA MD10G0248800". The record is from RNAcentral. Lineage: Eukaryota; Viridiplantae; Streptophyta; Magnoliopsida; Rosales; Rosaceae.
UGAGUGCCAAUCCAAUAUCCAUAUUGUGACUAUGAAAUUUGGUAUGUGUGGAACCUGGACUUGCACUCACAGCAAGUCGAACAAUAUGGAGAUUGAUGCAGCCUACGAGAUGUUGUGAAAAUUCUUCAGGUUUAAAGCUGUCGACAAAUUUUGGUGAUCACACUCUGAGAUGGUAAGUAAGCGUACUUACAUCGCCAAGAUCUCUGAAGGGGUUAAAGCAAGCAGCAGCCACUAGUAACCUUUCUAGGCGAUGGAAGUGUGUGUGGGCGUCUACCAUGACUCCCAACUUCGAUGCAGUUGCAGGGAAAACUAUAUGCAGUUUGUAUGGCUUCGAAAUUAAAGAAGAAUUAGAUUCGGAAAUUCGUAGGUACGUCGAUGAUGGAACAACAUCAAAGUCCAUCCCCUUGAGCAAUAUACCUCUCCACGCGAGCAAUAUCUUUUUAGGUAUCAA